Lutra lutra (Eurasian river otter) is the source of this 1312-nucleotide long non-coding RNA. RefSeq lists it as uncharacterized. The transcript has 5 exons. Lineage: Eukaryota; Metazoa; Chordata; Mammalia; Carnivora; Mustelidae. The record is from RefSeq and is a predicted model, not a curated record.
ACUUCCGCCGCCGCGCCCGCCGCCGUAGCCGCCGCCGCCGGAACUACUGGGACUGCCCUAGUCCAGACUUUCAUCACCUCUGUCAUGGAUAUUACAUCACCAGCUUCUGAGGACAUUUUCUUGGCUCAGUGCUAUGUCACCUCUUUACUGCUACAGAAUUAAUGUUCUUGAAGAAGUGUUGUCAUGACUUCAUCAACGUACUCAAGCACCUAACAUGGAUUCUUUUGUGGGUGGAUGAAGUCUUCUCAACAGCCUUGCCCGACUCUCUCUGUCCAACUUCAUGCUCCCUACGAUGCUGACCUGAACAGCGAACCAUUCUUCCACGUCUCUGCGGUUGUUGGCCAGCACUGUUUCAUACUGACAACGCAUCUCAUCCAGGACCCUGUUGAGGUCGAUGGUGGGGGCAGUGUCCAGCUCCACACUGAGUCGGUCACCGAGCUGUCCCCGGAGCAAGCUGACUGCCUGAAAGAGGAAAUGGAAUAAAGGAAGCCACAGAGAGCUGGAGAAGAAUAUUCACUUUGACAUCCCAAGGGCAUCCUGUUUCUGGAGAAGCAAAGGAGAUCGUCCUUCAGAGACUCCACAUGGGCCUCCAGGUCAGCUUUGCACAGACUCAGCUCACCCAGGAUCCCACGCAGGCCACCAAUGUCUGUCUCUACCAGCUGGCGAAGAGACAGUUCAGACUCGUACCUUUCAGAGCCAAAGAGAUACAGACGGUGAUUACUUUGCUAGACACCAUGUACUGUGCUGGGCAUGCUGGUGAGUGACACAAGGACUCAAGGAAGCCAUAUUCCAAAUAAUAAAUGUGAGCUUUGUGAGCAUUCUUAGCUUAAAAUAAAGCUUAUAUAGAGAAUAUUGGUGGCAUGUGCAGAUGUGUGCAUGUGUGAGAGACUUGGGGGUGAAGAGAGAGAGAGGGGAACCAUAAAUUAUUUUCAAAUUCAAAUUCAACUUACUUUGAUCUAAAGUCAUCAGCAGCCAGUUUGCAGUUGUCAAGCUGUACAGCAAGUCUAGAAUUCUCUGCCUUCGUGCACAAGAUCUGUAUAAGGAUAAAGCAAAUCACAGGUUAGGGCAGUGAGAGACACCAGACCUUUUGCUGGAGCUCUUCGAUGGUGUCGAAGUAACAUUGAUAAUCAGGGCACACCAGUGGGAGGUCCUCUUCACAUUGCUCUCGGAUCCUGCAUUCCAGCUCCGCAUUCAUCUCCUCCAGGCCACGCACCUUCUCCAGAUAGUUGGCAAGUCUGUCAUUGAGGAACUGCAUCGUCUCCUUCUCGUUGCUGUUGAACACUCCAUCCUCGCACCAAGCACAGUUCCCCAC